Molecule: transfer RNA, 70 nt
Filed under: Apistus carinatus (ocellated waspfish)
Lineage: Eukaryota; Metazoa; Chordata; Actinopteri; Perciformes; Apistidae
Description: tRNA-Asp
Rfam family: tRNA
About the family: Transfer RNA (tRNA) molecules are approximately 80 nucleotides in length. Their secondary structure includes four short double-helical elements and three loops (D, anti-codon, and T loops).
Source: RNAcentral
AAGACACUAGUAAUAACUAUUACACCGCCUUGUCAAGGCGGAAUUGUAGGUGAAAACCCUGCGUGUCUUG